GCUGGGCAUGGUGGUGCAUGCCUAUGGUCCCAGCUGCUUGGGAGGCUGAGAUGGGAGGAUCGCUUGAGCCCAGGAGAUGGAGGUUGCAGUGAGCCAUGAUGGCACCACUGCACUCUAGCCUGGGCAACAGAAUGAGACCCUCUCUCUC
This is an unclassified non-coding RNA of Macaca fascicularis (crab-eating macaque), 148 nucleotides long. It matches the Rfam family "Metazoan signal recognition particle RNA". From Rfam's summary of the family: The signal recognition particle (SRP) is a universally conserved ribonucleoprotein. It is involved in the co-translational targeting of proteins to membranes. The record is from Ensembl. Lineage: Eukaryota; Metazoa; Chordata; Mammalia; Primates; Cercopithecidae.